ACAGAAAGUAGUGCUGCAGGUCAAAGAACCGUUUCCAUCCUGGGCCACAGUUCUCCUGGUUUUCCUGCUUCUUCUUGUAGUUGUUUCUGCGAGUCUUUUGUUUCAUUUCCGUCACGCCUUGGUGUCAGAUGUUGGAGGAGCUCCUCUCAGAGAGUCUGCAGGACAGCUUGGUCUGAAAGCUCCUCCUGUGUCCUCGAGGAUCAGAGUGUAAAAUGAGAAGUGAACAAACACCUGCUGAACUUUGACCUCCAGGAGAAAACCUGAUAACGAUCCCCCUGUGAGAACAGCGAGAUCUGCUCUGAGCUGCUCCGUAAACACAAAUCAGACUUUGUACGUUAGAUUGUUUGAACCUCCAGCAUUCAGUGAAGCUACAGAUGGAUGAUUCAAACAGGACAUGGCAUUUCUCUACACCUCUGAAAACCUGCUGCUGUCUGUGUUUGCUGUU
Molecule: long non-coding RNA, 445 nt
Organism: Haplochromis burtoni (Burton's mouthbrooder)
Lineage: Eukaryota; Metazoa; Chordata; Actinopteri; Cichliformes; Cichlidae
Exons: 3
Source: RefSeq, a predicted model, not a curated record